RNAcentral lists this ribosomal RNA (67 nucleotides) under Diaporthe sp. 2 PRJ-2013. Its description in RNAcentral is "partial 18S ribosomal RNA". It matches the Rfam family "Eukaryotic small subunit ribosomal RNA", at positions 1764 to 1830 of the family's 1831-position model. Lineage: Eukaryota; Fungi; Ascomycota; Sordariomycetes; Diaporthales; Diaporthaceae. The record is from RNAcentral.
CUUGGUCAUUUAGAGGAAGUAAAAGUCGUAACAAGGUUUCCGUUGGUGAACCAGCGGAGGGAUCAUU